GACGAACGCUGGCGGCGUGCUUAACACAUGCAAGUCGAACGGAAAGGCCCUUUUUUUGUGGGUUGCUCGGGUGGCGAACGGAAGGGUAGCACGUGAGUAACCUGCCCUUCCCUUUUCUUUAGCUUCACGACACUGGGGCUUAUCCAGUAUAGGAUAUCCUGCUUCUUUGUGGUGGUUGGUAUGUUUCGGCGGUUGUAGCUGGACUCGCGGGUUUUCAGCUUGUUGGUGGGGUUGUGGCGGUCCAAGGCUUUGACGGGUGGCCGGCCUGAGAGGGUGACAGGCAACAUUGGGACUGAGAUACGGCCCAGACGCGUACGGGAGGCAGCAGUGGGGAAUAGUGCAAAAUGGGCGGAAGCCGGAAGCAGCAAAGCCGCGUGCGGGAUGACGGCCUUCGGGUAGUAAACCGCUUUCGCCUGUGAUGAAGCGGGAGUGACGGUAAUGGGUAAAGAAGCACCGGCUAACUACGUG
Molecule: ribosomal RNA, 468 nt
Filed under: uncultured bacterium
Lineage: Bacteria
Description: partial 16S ribosomal RNA
Rfam family: Bacterial small subunit ribosomal RNA
Source: RNAcentral